RNAcentral lists this ribosomal RNA (641 nucleotides) under uncultured bacterium. Its description in RNAcentral is "bacterial SSU rRNA". It matches the Rfam family "Bacterial small subunit ribosomal RNA", at positions 848 to 1498 of the family's 1533-position model. The record is from RNAcentral.
UAAGCGAAAGUGAUAAGUAUCCCACCUGGGGAGUACGAUCGCAAGAUUGAAACUCAAAGGAAUUGACGGGGGCCCGCACAAGCGGUGGAGCAUGUGGUUUAAUUCGAUGAUACGCGAGGAACCUUACCUGGGCUUAAAUGUAUUUUGACAGGACUGGAAACAGUUUUUCCCGCAAGGGCAAUUUACAAGGUGCUGCAUGGUUGUCGUCAGCUCGUGCCGUGAGGUGUCAGGUUAAGUCCUAUAACGAGCGCAACCCCUAUCGUUAGUUGCUAGCAGGUCAUGCUGAGGACUCUAACGAGACUGCCGGUGCAAACCGUGAGGAAGGUGGGGAUGACGUCAAAUCAUCACGGCCCUUACGUCCAGGGCCACACACGUGCUACAAUGGUGCAUACAGAGAGCAGCCAACUUGCGAGAGUGAGCGAAUCUUCAAAGUGCAUCACAGUUCGGAUCGUAGUCUGCAACUCGACUACGUGAAGCUGGAAUCGCUAGUAAUCGCAGAUCAGCCAUGCUGCGGUGAAUACGUUCCCGGGCCUUGUACACACCGCCCGUCAAGCCAUGGAAGCUGGGGGUACCUGAAGUACGUAACCGUAAGGAGCGUCCUAGGGUAAAACUGGUAACUGGGGCUAAGUCGUAACAAGGUA